Acanthaster planci (crown-of-thorns starfish) is the source of this 202-nucleotide long non-coding RNA. The record is from RefSeq and is a predicted model, not a curated record. NCBI's taxonomy places the organism in Eukaryota, Metazoa, Echinodermata, Asteroidea, Valvatida, Acanthasteridae.
GCGUACGCACGCGUGUGCGUGGCCGUGAAAUACACUCUUGUUACUUACGUUUGCGUACGGUUCACGUGUAGACAAGUACAAGUGCGGUCAAGACUGGAGACGAAUUAUUCUUUGCCAGUGUGUAGAGAAGGUUUCAGUUGAUUUUAGACUGAAUUUACUGAGCUUGGAGUUGUUUCGCAAGAUCUUUUGUUCAUCAUGGCGU